RNAcentral lists this ribosomal RNA (464 nucleotides) under uncultured bacterium. RNAcentral describes it as "partial 16S ribosomal RNA". It matches the Rfam family "Bacterial small subunit ribosomal RNA", at positions 28 to 506 of the family's 1533-position model. The record is from RNAcentral.
GACGAACGCUGGCGGCGUGCUUAACACAUGCAAGUCGAACGGAAAGGCCCUGCUUGCAGGGUACUCGAGUGGCGAACGGGUGAGUAACACGUGGGUGAUCUGCCCUGCACUUCGGGAUAAGCCUGGGAAACUGGGUCUAAUACCGGAUAGGAGCCAUUUUUAGUGUGAUGGUUGGAAAGUUUUUUCGGUGUAGGAUGAGCUCGCGGCCUAUCAGCUUGUUGGUGGGGUAAUGGCCUACCAAGGCGGCGACGGGUAGCCGGCCUGAGAGGGUGGACGGCCAAAUUGGGAAUGAGAAUGGGCCCCAACCCCCAGGGGGGGAAGGAGGGGGGAAAUUUGCACAAGGGGGGAAAGCCGGAUGCAGCGACGCCGGGGGGGGGGUGACGGCCUUCGGGUUUUAAACUCCUUUCGUUGGGGAAGAAGUUUUUUGUGACGGUACCUAGAUAAGAAGCACCGGCUAACUACGU